CGACGCAGCAACGCCGCGUGUGUGAUGAAGGUCUUCGGAUUGUAAAGCACUUUCGACCGGGACGAAAACCCCCUGGCUAAUACUCAGGGGCUUGACGGUACCGGGAGAAGAAGCACCGGCUAACUCUGUGCCAGCAGCCGCGGUAAUACAGAGGGUGCAAGCGUUGUUCGGAAUUAUUGGGCGUAAAGCGCGUGUAGGCGGCUUUGCAAGUCGGGUGUGAAAGCCCUCAGCUCAACUGAGGAAGUGCGCCCGAAACUGCAGAGCUUGAGUGCCGGAGAGGGUGGCGGAAUUCCCCAAGUAGAGGUGAAAUUCGUAGAUAUGGGGAGGAACACCGGUGGCGAAGGCGGCCACCUGGACGGUAACUGACGCUGAGACGCGAAAGCGUGGGGAGCAAACAGGAUUAGAUACCCUGGUAGUCCACGCCGUAAACGAUGAGAACUAGGUGUCAUGGGUGUUGACCCCCGUGGUGCCGUAGCUAACGCAUUAAGUUCUCCGCCUGGGAAGUACGGUCGCAAGACUA
This 520-nucleotide ribosomal RNA is filed under the name uncultured Pseudomonadota bacterium. RNAcentral describes it as "bacterial SSU rRNA". It matches the Rfam family "Bacterial small subunit ribosomal RNA", at positions 384 to 896 of the family's 1533-position model. Lineage: Bacteria; Pseudomonadati; Pseudomonadota. The record is from RNAcentral.